UCCAGACUCCUACGGGAGGCAGCAGUGAGGAAUAUUGGUCAAUGGACGCAAGUCUGAACCAGCCAAGUAGCGUGCAGGAUGACGGCCCUCCGGGUUGUAAACUGCUUUUAGUUGGGAAUAAAAGGGGGCUCGUGAGCCCCGUAUUGUAUGUACCAUCAGAAAAAGGACCGGCUAAUUCCGUGCCAGCAGCCGCGGUAAUACGGAAGGUCCGGGCGUUAUCCGGAUUUAUUGGGUUUAAAGGGAGCGUAGGCCGGCUUUUAAGUCAGCUGUGAAAGUCCGCGGCUCAACCGUGGAAUUGCAGUUGAAACUGGAGGCCUUGAGUGCAGUUGAGGUAGGCGGAAUUCGUGGUGUAGCGGUGAAAUGCUUAGAUAUCACGAAGAACUCCGAUUGCGAAGGCAGCUUACUAAACUGCCACUGACAUUGAUGCUCGAAAGUGUGGGUAUCAAACAGAAUUAGAUACCCUGGUAA
Molecule: ribosomal RNA, 468 nt
Filed under: uncultured bacterium
Lineage: Bacteria
Description: partial 16S ribosomal RNA
Rfam family: Bacterial small subunit ribosomal RNA
Source: RNAcentral